RNAcentral lists this ribosomal RNA (253 nucleotides) under uncultured bacterium. RNAcentral describes it as "partial 16S ribosomal RNA". It matches the Rfam family "Bacterial small subunit ribosomal RNA", at positions 524 to 776 of the family's 1533-position model. The record is from RNAcentral.
UACGAAGGGGGCGAGCGUUGUUCGGAAUUACUGGGCGUAAAGGGCGCGUAGGCGGCGCCGGAAGUCAGGCGUGAAAGCCCCGGGCUCAACCUGGGAGGUGCGCUUGGGACUCUGGUGCUGGAGUUCGGGAGAGGAGAGUGGAAUUCCCAGUGUAGAGGUGAAAUUCGUAGAUAUUGGGAAGAACACCGGUGGCGAAGGCGGCCAUCUGGACCGCAACUGACGCUGAGGCGCGAAAGCGUGGGGAGCAAACAGG